Molecule: unclassified non-coding RNA, 28 nt
Filed under: Mus musculus (house mouse)
Lineage: Eukaryota; Metazoa; Chordata; Mammalia; Rodentia; Muridae
Description: oocyte_clustered_small_RNA4035
Source: RNAcentral
UGGCACCAGAUUCAGGCUAGCGCCUGCG